RNAcentral lists this ribosomal RNA (264 nucleotides) under Liodrosophila aerea. Its description in RNAcentral is "partial 28S ribosomal RNA". The record is from RNAcentral. Lineage: Eukaryota; Metazoa; Arthropoda; Insecta; Diptera; Drosophilidae.
UCCCCNAGGUAUCCUGAAUCUUUCGCCAUUGUUAAUCAUACAAAUGCUUAUAAUAAACACAAAAAUCAAUGAUAAUCAUGCCAUUAUAUAAUUCCGAAAAAUUAACGCACUGUAUUCAUAUAAAUCUAUCAGCACUUUAUCAAAUUUACAACAUUUAUUUUAUGUUAAAAUGCAAGCAUAAUAAUUUAAAUAAACAAUAAGUCGCAAUUUUUUGAUAAAUUAUUGUUACUAAUAAGACGUUACAAUGUCCUUAUAUGGAAAAAG